UGGCGGACGGGUGGGUAACGCGUGGAAAACCUGCCGUAUACUGGGGGAUAACACUUAGAAAUAGGUGCUAAUACCGCAUAAGCGCACAGCUUCGCAUGAAGUGGUGUGAAAAACUCUGGUGGUAUACGAUGGUUCCGCGUCUGAUUAGCUUGUUGGUGGGGUAAUGGCUCACCAAGGCGACGAUCAGUAGCCGGCCUGAGAGGGUGAACGGCCACAUUGGGACUGAGACACGGCCCAAACUCCUACGGAAGGCAGCAG
This 258-nucleotide ribosomal RNA is filed under the name uncultured bacterium. RNAcentral's name for it is "partial 16S ribosomal RNA". It matches the Rfam family "Bacterial small subunit ribosomal RNA", at positions 96 to 354 of the family's 1533-position model. The record is from RNAcentral.